RNAcentral lists this ribosomal RNA (741 nucleotides) under Acanthocheilus rotundatus. RNAcentral describes it as "eukaryotic LSU rRNA". It matches the Rfam family "Eukaryotic large subunit ribosomal RNA", at positions 69 to 647 of the family's 3401-position model. The record is from RNAcentral. Lineage: Eukaryota; Metazoa; Nematoda; Chromadorea; Rhabditida; Acanthocheilidae.
CGAGGAUUCCCCUAGUAACGGCGAGUGAACGGGGAAAAGCCCAGCGCUGAAUCCUUCGGCCACUGGUCGCUAGGAAUUGUAGCGUAUAGGUGCGGCUGUCCGCUCGUUUCGCUCACCCAAAGUCCCCUUGAGCGGGGCUAUAGUCCAAAGAAGGUGCUAGACCUGUACGGGUGGCGAAGCGUUUGGUUGGCUGCUCCUUGGAGUCGGGUUGCCUGGGAUCGCAGCCCAAAGUUGGUGGUAGACCUCAUCUAAGGCUAAAUAAGGCCACGAAACCGAUAGCAAACAAGUACCGUGAGGGAAAGUUGCAAAGAACUUUGAAGAGAGAGUUCAAGAGGGCGUGAAACCGCUGAGAUGGAAACGGAUAGAGUUAACGGAACUCAGCUGCAUUCAUCCAAUCGGCCUAGCGGCCCGUUGGCUUUGGCAUCCUCGAUGAGGGCAGAGCUGUCGGUGACUGUUGGGUAAUUGAUUGGUGUAUUUGCGGCUGGUAUGCGUCGAGAGCCUUGUGAUCGCAUGUUGAUAGGCGUGCAGUGGACCAUUCCUUCCGGGAGUGGAACCCUUCACGUUUGGAGGCAUGUCGGUUGUAAGGUUUGCAAGUGCCGUCUCCGCUAUGGUGCGUCGGCUUUUUCGGGCUAUUGUUGCUACCGGGUGAUCGCUUGCGACUGCCUGUAGUGAAUAAUGGCAAGGGAAAGUGCGGACGCGCUGAGAUGUGUUUCUCGGUGUGAACGUUGACCACCUAUCCGA